Molecule: ribosomal RNA, 244 nt
Filed under: uncultured bacterium
Lineage: Bacteria
Description: partial 16S ribosomal RNA
Rfam family: Bacterial small subunit ribosomal RNA
Source: RNAcentral
AGAGUUUAAUCCUGGCUCAGGAUGAACGCUAGCUACAGGCUUAACACAUGCAAGUCGAGGGGGCAGCAUGAACUUAGCUUGCUAAGUUUGAUGGCGACCGGCGCACGGGUGAGUAACACGUAUCCAACCUGCCGAUUACUCGGGGAUAGCCUUUCGAAAGAAAGAUUAAUACCCGAUGGCAUAGUUCUUCCGCAUGGUAGAACUAUUAAAGAAUUUCGGUCAUCGAUGGGGAUGCGUUCCAUUA